UAUUGUGGUGGUUUGUGUAUUUGGCGGAUCUGUAACGGUGUCAGAGCGGCCUUAAACUACCACAGAGAUCAGAAAGGAGAUGGCUACGCUGUGAGCUUUUUUCAAGCUUUUAGUUUUCAGCUUUUUGUUCAGCUCCUACAGAA
This is a non-coding RNA of Chlamydotis undulata (Houbara bustard), 143 nucleotides long. The record is from Rfam. NCBI's taxonomy places the organism in Eukaryota, Metazoa, Chordata, Aves, Otidiformes, Otididae.